RNAcentral lists this ribosomal RNA (253 nucleotides) under uncultured bacterium. RNAcentral describes it as "partial 16S ribosomal RNA". It matches the Rfam family "Archaeal small subunit ribosomal RNA", at positions 474 to 727 of the family's 1478-position model. The record is from RNAcentral.
UACCAGCACCCCGAGUGGUCGGGACGUUUAUUGGGCCUAAAGCAUCCGUAGCCGGUUCUACAAGUCUUCCGUUAAAUCCACCUGCUUAACAGAUGGGCUGCGGAAGAUACUAUGGAGCUAGGAGGCGGGAGAGGCAAGCGGUACUCGAUGGGUAGGGGUAAAAUCCGUUGAUCCAUUGAAGACCACCAGCGGCGAAGGCGGCUUGCCAGAACGCGCUCGACGGUGAGGGAUGAAAGCUGGGGGAGCAAACCGG